RNAcentral lists this ribosomal RNA (259 nucleotides) under uncultured bacterium. RNAcentral describes it as "partial 16S ribosomal RNA". It matches the Rfam family "Bacterial small subunit ribosomal RNA", at positions 99 to 353 of the family's 1533-position model. The record is from RNAcentral.
CGGACGGGUGGAGUAACGCGUGGGUAACCUGCCCUGUACAGGGGGAGUAACAGUCAGAAAUGACUGCUAAUACCGCAUAAGACCACAGCACCACAUGGUGCAGGGGUAAAAACUACCGGUGGUACAGGAUGGACCCGCGUCUGAUUAGCUGGUUGGUGAGGUAACGGCUCACCAAGGCGACGAUCAGUAGCCGGCUUGAGAGAGUGAACGGCCACAUUGGGACUGAGACACGGCCCAAACUCCUACGGGAGGCAGCAUG